AUUCUAGAGCCCAUUGCCGGCCGGAGUAGCUCCGGGGAGAAAGUUCAAGUGGCCGUUCCCUCCUCCUCCGCCGGCAUGGCGGCUCGAGGCUUGACAAGAAAUUAGGGUUUUGGUCGCACAUGUUGGGCGAAGGCGAAGAAAGGGCAAACUGUGGCGGUGGUCAAAAUCAUCUCUAAAGCUACUGCGAGUCUCUCUCGUUUGACUUGUGGAUUUUACCAGGUUUCUGUCAGCAUGGUGCAAGGGAGAAAAAGGUUCAGGCUUCUGAGAUGGUUGGUCUUGAUAAAGUGUGCCAUGAUGAACGGGGAAAUUCAGGUUAUGUGAAGGCAGAGAGCUUUCGGACAGAAUCCCGACUCUCUUUCUUUCUGAUGCUAAGCGAAUUCUUGUACACUUUUUUCCAUCUUGAAGGUGUUGUACAUCGUGAUCUGGAACCAGAGGGCAAAACCUGGUUUCGAGGAUUUGGCAUGGCAUUCCAUAUCGUCCAUUGCGAAAGAUUUCGUGAGAAGGCUUCUAAACAAGGGUCAUAGGCAGCAGAAGCACUAGGCAAGUUGUUUGAAAACCAGACGGUGUAGCCUUAUUAUAUGAUCUUUGUUAGUCAACAACGUUGAAACAGUUAUGCAAUAUCAGCACAUCCAUCCAUGGUUACGAGACGAAAACCCGGGGUUGCUUCUGGAUUUGGCGAUGUACGAGUCUUAUAUCCAUGCCUCACCUUUCAGACGAGCAGCACUUUAAGCGUCACAUGAAGGUGAACCCGCGUUUCACAAAAGACAGGAAGCAUAUCGACCGAAUCUUGUAGAGCGAGGACAGUAGCAUUUCGACACUCUGUCGGGGGAAAUGGAUUCUGCUAAGAGAUUGGAUCAGGAACUUUGAUGGGCAGCCGGGUUUCCUCGAGCUCAAGAAGAAGAAUAAGAAGAGUCCAUUCCAAAAAUGUCGGUGUUUGGAUUUAAUUUUUCGGCAAAAAAAAAAUUGGAUUUUCGGGUCA
Molecule: long non-coding RNA, 979 nt
Organism: Tarenaya hassleriana
Lineage: Eukaryota; Viridiplantae; Streptophyta; Magnoliopsida; Brassicales; Cleomaceae
Exons: 7
Source: RefSeq, a predicted model, not a curated record